CCUACGGGAGGCAGCAGUGGGGAAUAUUGGACAAUGGGGGCAACCCUGAUCCAGCCAUGCCGCGUGUGUGAAGAAGGCCCUCGGGUUGUAAAGCACUUUCAGUGAGGAAGAACACCUGGUGGUUAAUACCCAUCAGGAAAGACAUCACUCACAGAAGAAGCACCGGCUAACUCCGUGCCAGCAGCCGCGGUAAUACGGAGGGUGCGAGCGUUAAUCGGAAUUACUGGGCGUAAAGCGCGCGUAGGUGGCUUGAUAAGCCGGUUGUGAAAGCCCCGGGCUCAACCUGGGAACGGCAUCCGGAACUGUCAAGCUAGAGUGCAGGAGAGGAAGGUAGAAUUCCCGGUGUAGCGGUGAAAUGCGUAGAGAUCGGGAGGAAUACCAGUGGCGAAGGCGGCCUUCUGGACUGACACUGACACUGAGGUGCGAAAGCGUGGGUAGCAAACAGGAUUAGAUACCCCAGUAGUC
Molecule: ribosomal RNA, 465 nt
Filed under: Vreelandella stevensii
Lineage: Bacteria; Pseudomonadati; Pseudomonadota; Gammaproteobacteria; Oceanospirillales; Halomonadaceae
Description: partial 16S ribosomal RNA
Rfam family: Bacterial small subunit ribosomal RNA
Source: RNAcentral